AACGAACGCUGGCGGCAUGGAUUAGGCAUGCAAGUCGAACGAACGUAGCAAUACGUUAGUGGCGAAAGGGUGAGGAACACGUGAGUAACUUGCCCCCAAGUUCGGAAUAACUUUGGGAAACUGAAGAUAAUACCGGAUGUGGUUGUUUUUUCGCAUGGAGAAACAACUAAAGGUUUACCGCUUGGGGAUAGGCUCGCGUCCCAUUAGCUAGUUGGUGAGGUAACGGCUCACCAAGGCAACGAUGGGUAGCUGGUCUGAGAGGAUGGUCAGCCACACUGGGACUGAGACACUGCCCAGACUCCUACGGGAGGCUGCAGUCGAGAAUCUUCCGCAAUGCGCAAAAGCGUGACGGAGCAAUGCCGCGUGUCGGAUGAAGGUCUUCGGAUUGUAAACGACUGUCGACCGGGACGAAUUAAUGACGGUACCGGUAGAGGAAGCCACGGCUAACUACGUGCCAGCAGCCGCGGUAAUACGUAGGUGGCGAGCGUUGUUCGGAUUUAUUGGGCGUAAAGGGUCCGUAGGAGGUUGGGUAAAUUUGACGUGAAAUCCCGGAGCUCAACUCUGGAACUGCGUUGGAGACUGCCUGACUAGAGUACUGGAGAGGUAAGCGGAAUACCAGGUGUAGCGGUGGAAUGCGUAGAUAUCUGGUAGAACACCAAAAGCGAAGGCAGCUUACUGGACAGAAACUGACUCUCAAGGACGAAAGCGUGGGGAGCAAACAGGAUUAGAUACCCUGGUAGUCCACGCCGUAAACGUUGUCAACUUGAUGUGGGAGGAUUUAACCCCUUCCGUAUCGAAGCUAACGCGAUAAGUUGACCGCCUGGGGACUACGGCCGCAAGGCUA
Molecule: ribosomal RNA, 844 nt
Filed under: uncultured bacterium
Lineage: Bacteria
Description: bacterial SSU rRNA
Rfam family: Bacterial small subunit ribosomal RNA
Source: RNAcentral